GGAGGGGGCGGUGGAGGCAUCGUCCAAGUAGGAGCUGUCCUCGUCAAACAUCAUCUCAUCUCCCAGUGCGUCCAGUUCUGUGGACCAAGAAACCACACAAUCAUUAUCCAGUUCUGUGGACCUAGACACCACACACACACAAACAUCAGGUUCUGUGGACCUAGACACCACACACACACAAACAUCAGGUUCUGUGGACCAAACACAGCAGCAGAAGCAAUACUUUAAUACCCCAUACGACAAAUACAGGAAUCCGUCUGGGUUGAGUUGUAGACAUUAAAACAGGAACAAAUGACUGUUAGAAUCAACCGAACCAGACGCACACACUCACACACACACCAGAGGCCCUGAAUACAUGGAGGAGGGUAGCUUCAGGCUGGUUUAAUCAGCUGACCAGCUAAGGAAUGAAUGUAGUUCACAGCUCAAUCACAUGACCAUGGUCGUGAAUUAUCAGCCAAUCGGACCAUGCUGUGGCCUGUGAAUUCACUGCAAUGCCCUCAGGCGGGCGUUGUAAGGAACCCCUUAGGAGAACAAACCACUACACCAAGUCCUUCAUUCCCUCUGCCAUCAUUGUAUUACACCCUGACAGUGUUUAUUUUAAAUGACUAAACGUGGUUAUUUAUACUACUUAAUCAGACUUUUUUUUUUAUUGUUGCUCAUUGUACUGACCUAUGAACAUGAUAUGUUGCCACCAACAUAUCGCUAUCUUGUCUUUUCUGUGAGUUUGUAUGUCUUAAGUUGUUGGUAUGGACUUGGUAAACUGCAAAUAAGUUGCCCUUUUUGAGAUCAAUAAAGUUGUCUGAAUCUGAA
This is a long non-coding RNA of Gadus macrocephalus (Pacific cod), 810 nucleotides long. RefSeq lists it as uncharacterized. The transcript is spliced from 2 exons. The record is from RefSeq and is a predicted model, not a curated record. NCBI's taxonomy places the organism in Eukaryota, Metazoa, Chordata, Actinopteri, Gadiformes, Gadidae.